RNAcentral lists this ribosomal RNA (676 nucleotides) under Limosilactobacillus fermentum. RNAcentral's name for it is "bacterial SSU rRNA". It matches the Rfam family "Bacterial small subunit ribosomal RNA", at positions 28 to 693 of the family's 1533-position model. Lineage: Bacteria; Bacillati; Bacillota; Bacilli; Lactobacillales; Lactobacillaceae. The record is from RNAcentral.
GUCGAACGCGUUGGCCCAAUUGAUUGAUGGUGCUUGCACCUGAUUGAUUUUGGUCGCCAACGAGUGGCGGACGGGUGAGUAACACGUAGGUAACCUGCCCAGAAGCGGGGGACAACAUUUGGAAACAGAUGCUAAUACCGCAUAACAACGUUGUUCGCAUGAACAACGCUUAAAAGAUGGCUUCUCGCUAUCACUUCUGGAUGGACCUGCGGUGCAUUAGCUUGUUGGUGGGGUAACGGCCUACCAAGGCGAUGAUGCAUAGCCGAGUUGAGAGACUGAUCGGCCACAAUGGGACUGAGACACGGCCCAUACUCCUACGGGAGGCAGCAGUAGGGAAUCUUCCACAAUGGGCGCAAGCCUGAUGGAGCAACACCGCGUGAGUGAAGAAGGGUUUCGGCUCGUAAAGCUCUGUUGUUAAAGAAGAACACGUAUGAGAGUAACUGUUCAUACGUUGACGGUAUUUAACCAGAAAGUCACGGCUAACUACGUGCCAGCAGCCGCGGUAAUACGUAGGUGGCAAGCGUUAUCCGGAUUUAUUGGGCGUAAAGAGAGUGCAGGCGGUUUUCUAAGUCUGAUGUGAAAGCCUUCGGCUUAACCGGAGAAGUGCAUCGGAAACUGGAUAACUUGAGUGCAGAAGAGGGUAGUGGAACUCCAUGUGUAGCGGUGGAAUGCGUAA